Molecule: unclassified non-coding RNA, 266 nt
Filed under: Glomus sp.
Lineage: Eukaryota; Fungi; Glomeromycota; Glomeromycetes; Glomerales; Glomeraceae
Description: partial contains 5.8S ribosomal RNA and internal transcribed spacer 2
Rfam family: 5.8S ribosomal RNA (bases 1-71)
Source: RNAcentral
GUGAAUCAUCGAAUUUUUGAACGCACAUUGCACUCUUUGGUAUUCCGGAGAGUAUGCCUGUUUGAGGGUCAGUUUAAACAUCAAUCGGUGUGGCUGGUGCUUUUCGUGGUGAAGUUGAGGGUGUGGGUUGUGCUGUCUUCGGUUAAGUGACCUCAAAUUUUGCAUGUUUUAUUUGAACGUAUUUAAAUGAUAUUACGUACGUUUGCGAUAUCGAAUACUAGAUGCGGUCAUCCUCAUGAUUUGCGCAUAUAAUUACUUAUCAAAAU